Small nucleolar RNA from Lactuca sativa (garden lettuce), 126 nucleotides. RefSeq annotates it as small nucleolar RNA snoR111. NCBI's taxonomy places the organism in Eukaryota, Viridiplantae, Streptophyta, Magnoliopsida, Asterales, Asteraceae. The record is from RefSeq and is a predicted model, not a curated record.
AUAAGUCUGAUUGACAUUGAUGAAUUGUCUCUUCAUUUUGACAACCGAUGGAUAAAGUAAAGAUGGCGAGAUAUCGUUUCAGUCGUCGUUUCUUCGGUUGACGAUCUGAUUGUUACUCGUCCACAA